CCGCGACGCUCUAGCCGCGCGCAGCGCUCUAUGACCUCCCUCCGGCCAAGGCGGGGCGGUUAGCGCGGCGCUUCCCGGCUGCCGUUCCUGCAGCGGCGUUGCGUCACGGCGCGUUGCGUCGGCGUCGACGGCGGCUGAGGAGGGACACGGCGUUGGCGGCCCGGCCGGCGCUAUGGAGGCGGCGGCGGCGGCGGCUCCGGCGACCUCGUCCCGCGCCCUGGUGCCCGCCAGGCCCGAGGGCGCCGCCGUGGUGGCGGGGCGGGAGGCGGCGCAGCCGGCCCCGAGGCGCCCGAAGAAGGUCCUGGACGAAGAGGCCUACAUCGAGAGCUUAGAGACGAUCAUUCAGCGAGACUUCUUCCCUGACGUGGAGAAGCUACGAGCGCAGAAGGAAUAUCUGGAGGCGGAAGAGAACGGCGACUUGGAGAAAAUGAGACAAAUCGCUAUCAAGUUCGGUUCCUCCUUGGGCAAAUCGUCAAGGGACACUCCCGCACCCUAUGUUACUCCAGCCACAUUUGAAACCCCUGAAGUACAUCCGGGUGGUCUUCCACUUGUGAAUAAACCCAAAGUUGGCAUCAAAGCUGCAGAGGAAGAAGAAGUGGAAAAAGAUGAUAAAGAUGUACUUCCCAGUCUGGACAGCUUCUUAGCAAAGCACACGAGUGAAGAUAAUGCUUCAUUUGAGCAGAUCAUGGAAGUGGCUAAAGAGAAGGAGAAAGUCAAGCAUGCUUGGCUGUACAGUGCGGAAGAGGAGUAUGCCCAGCGACGAAAUGAGAACUUGGCACUUCCUCCAGCAGAGCAGCAGGCCCUUGAAAAUGUGAAAGCCGGACUGGAGACCUGGGAGUACACAGCUCGGAAUUCCCUCAUGUAUUAUCCCACAGGUGUACCCGAUGAGGAUGAUAUAUUUAAGAAGCCCAGGGAAGUUGUCCAUCGAAACACCCGUUUUGUGAAGGAUCCUUUUAGUCAAGCCUUGAGCAAAUCCCAGCUCCAACAAGCUGCAGCACUCAAUGCCCAGUACAAACAGGGCAAAGUGGGACCAGAUGGGAAAGAGCUCAUACCCCAGGAGUCUCCAAAAGUGAAUGGAUAUGGAUUUGUGGCUACUCCCUCUCCUGCCCCUGGUGUGAACGAGUCUCCUCUUAUGACAUGGGGUGAAAUCGAAAGCACCCCUUUGCGUUUAGAUGGAUCAGAAACGCCAUAUGUGGACAGAACACCCGGACCAGCCUUCAAGAUCCUGGAGCCUGGGCGCCGCGAGAGGUUAGGACUUAAGAUGGCCAAUGAAGUAGCAGCUAAAAACCGAGCGAAAAAACAGGAGGCACUUCGAAAAGUCACAGAAAACCUGGCCAGCCUUACUCCAAAAGGACUAAGCCCAGUUAUGUCUCCAGCUUUGCAACGGCUGGUAAACAGGACUGCAAGUAAAUAUACUGACAAAGCCCUGCGAGCCAGCUAUACUCCUUCCCCAGCCCAUACAGGAACUCCUGGUUACAAGACCCCAGCAGGUGGGCCUCAUACACCCACAACCACCCCACUAUCAAGGACAGUGUCUCAGACACCGGUGUCUCAGGAUACUACGUCAAUCACAGACAAUUUACUGCAGCUUCCUAAAAGAAGGAAGGCAUCUGAUUUUUUCUAAAUAGUCCUUUCAUCAUCAAGGCGAUAGUGAAUUGGCUGUACCCAGCUGCGUGCCAACCGGAUGUUGUGAACCAUCAGUAUUAAGGGGUAUCUAAGUGCAGCUGCCAGAACAGGACCCAGCAGUUGCUAGAUCUGGGACCAGCUCUACUCUAGACCACAUAGCUGAAGUAGCCUAUGAUGUGCUUUUUGGAAGAAAAAUAUUUCCUGCUGUGGUAUAACUUCCCUUUGAACUGCAUGGAUAUGUUACACAGGGCUGCCGUAGCGUAAGGAUGCUUCCUGCAAUGGCAGAGAAAAGUUUGGACUCUUGGAAAGCAGCAAGGAUUUUGUGAAGAUAUUUUUCUCUUUUUGAGAUGACCCUGUGGACUGCAUUUAAAUACUUCUGUGUACAGAUAUCUCUAUUUAUAAAAUGUGGCUGGGAUUCUGUUUGCCGUUUGUGCUUGGACUUUUCCUCAUGCAGAUUCUGGGAACACUCGCCCUCUUCUGCAGCUGGUGCUGUUGAAGGGACUGUGGGUUCUGGAGUCUGCAGCCAAGGGUGGCUUAAAACUUCAUCUAUGCACAGCCUCUGAGACACAUCUGGAUGGAGCAUGCAGUAAAUGAGAUCCUUGCACGCUGCAGUCAGGUGCCUGGACUUGGGGAAGUGAAUCCUGUGUUCUUUCUGAAUGGAGAUCAUUUUUUUGAUGUUAGAAUCAUCAAAUGGCAUUAAUGCACAGACCAUUAUAUAUAGGAUGACCCCCAAGCUCCAUAUGUCACAAAUCUUGGGGUUACAAGGAAUGCCCUGUAGCACUUCAGGGGCUGCAUAUGCAGCAGACCCGCAGAAGGUUUUACUGAGAGUAAUUUUCCCGUUUUCAUCCCGAUUUAAGGGUCUGGAAAAGCCAAAGUCUGAGAGCUUGAUGUUGAGGUCUUUAUCGAGAAGGAUGUUCUCACACUUCAGGUCCCUGUGAGCAAGAUCCAUGUCAUGGCAGUACUUGAUGGCGGAAGCCAACUGCUGAAACUUCUUCUGUGCAACGUCCUCUUUCAUCGCUCCAGUACUCUUGAUAUAGUCCAGAAGAUCUCCCCUUACCCCCAGCUCCAUCACAAUGUACACUUUGCCAACAAAUGUUUCAAAUAUCUCGUGGGUUCUGACUACUGAGGGGUGGCUCAUACGUUUCAAAACAGCAAUUUCCCUGGGGAGAAAUUUUUCCAGGAAAUCCUGAGGAGUUUUCCGCUUGUCGAUAAUCUUUAUUGCCACGUUGCGUUUCAGUUUGUUGGAGUAGGCUGCUUUCACUUUGCCAUAAGUGCCUUCCCCCAGAGUGACGCCCACGUUAUAGCCUCUCUUUCCAAGCACCAUGAUAUCUUCCAUUGUGCUAGAAGUGGGGUGAGCUGGGGGGCUGGUGCUGGGUGUCAUCCGCGCUGGCGUGCUGCGUGUUGCCGCUCCAUGGGGGCUGCCGGGACGCCCUGCUCCCGCGCCGGGCGGGUGGGCUCCCCGCUGGCGGCUGUGUGAUGUCACAAGCCGGGGAAUCGAAGGGAUGUUUCCAGCCCCGUGAGGGAGCUACGGGAUGCCGAGAUCCAUGGCAAAACUAUGCAUCAAGUCUCCAAGAGUCAUCAGCCUGUCCUCUACCUCAUUCAUAAAUGAUCUUUAUAUUUAGUUUUGCCAAGAGGAUGGCAGUAGCUUAAAUAUUUUUCUUUCAUCUCAUAUAAAAUCAUUCUAAUACUUUUUAUAUUUACUCAUAUGUUAGUCAGGUACUCAUUUGAGUGUUAAAAUAAUCUGGUAGGGAAUGAUUAAGCUAUGUUUAGGGUUUUUUUUUUUUUUUAAUUGGUAUUUCUAUGGCUUAUGAAAGGAAAAACUAACAUGAGUAUGCAGGUCAUUUCUGGGGGUGGCUUCUUCAGGCUUUGCUUGGUCAGUGUUAGAAGUGUUUUCUGUGAGAUAAAAUGGAGGAGUUGAUGAUAACGUUAUUUACAAAAUAAGCUCUUUCCGAAAGCAUAAAACUAUGGAAAAGUUUCCUGAAGUAACUUAAUUUACUGAAGUAGAACUCUUAAAGUAUUUAUACUAUUAGAGGUUUUCUCUUCCCCCCCUUUUUUUUUUCUUCCUCUUAAUACACUGAAAUUCAGUAUGAGCACUUUUUGCUGGUUGUCUUGAAUUUUCAAAAUGUGUUGGUAUACUAGUUUACUUAAGUGGUUUUGUUCUGCAAUGGACCAAUGCUCUAGUUAUACUGUCUGGCUUGAAGGUUCAAGCACAACAACAUAUCUGAGUUUUCAUCCUUGCAGUAGGGUGUUUAAAACCUUUAUAAAGAAGUUAAUUGUUUGUACAUGUAUGCAUUUCUUGUCUGAGGUACACAAUGUAAAUACUAAAUGAAGGUGCUAUGGCUCUAUUCUCAAAGAUGACUUUUUUUUUUUCCUGAAGACAGAAAUUCUGCCUUUUUGUAUGUCUCAGCUGACUUUUUUUAUGGGCUUUUUUUCUGCAGUGUUUUUACUCAGGUUUUUUUCAAUGCUCUGUCUUGUGAAUUUGUCUCUGCUUCCCGCUGCGGUGCUGCUGCCCUUAGGGUGGGUGCUCAACAGUAACCAGAGACAGGGAUGGGGGUCUCUGGCUCCUGCUUCCUCACUCAUUUGUGUUGCAGUGAUAGCUGAGAAACCUACAGGUCCUCAAUACAAUGUUGAUUGGGAGAGAAAUACAAUUUUUUUAGUCUUUUGCAGUCAAAAUAUGAAGUAAAGUAGAGGUUUUCAAGGUCUGAGUUAAACGUUGCAGCAGCACGCCUGGCAGUGCAGAAGGUCCAUUCCUAGACUGGCAGACAUUAAAGCUGUGAAUAGCACCUGCGGUUUCCUGAGGAAUGGCACAUUUUGGUACUCCUCAGAGACAAACCACUCGGACUUCCUUUCAACACGUAGCAGCCUCACUCCUCUUCAGUCAGCUUUCUUCAAAGAGGGUAGUUUGCCACCGCAGAGGCGAGAAGAAGUUCUGAUGUUGGGGAAUGUGGGAUGCUGCUUUUCUAUCUUUAAAAUGGUUACGUUCAAGAACUGAUCUUUUUUUCCAUGCCCUUGUUAUGAGAAGGGGUGGGCUUUCCUUGGUGUUUGUUCAGCUCCUGUAUUUUGUAAAGCUGAUGAUUGGCUGCUUUUGUAGGCUUUGCAGCUGCCUUCUUAAACCCUUACUCAAUGCAUGAGCUGUGUUUUGAUUUCCAGGUUCUGGUAUUCUGGAGGAAGCCUUGUGUUAAAAGCUUCUUCAAAACUGUUCAGAGGAUUACUAUCGUUUUGCGUGUUGAUUGCUUCACCAUAAUCAGCCUCUGGGGCUUUUUGCUGUCUUGAUUUCAGCUUUUUCAAAUUGGUCUUUGAGCUCCCAUGUGUGCGACUUCGAAGACUCGAUGAUGGUAACAACACUAGGGCAAAGAACAGUCUUGUUUAGUUCACUGGGAUGGAUAACAAUGUCAUUCUAAAGAGCAGAAAUGGUACUCCUGACAGCCAAAGUGGGGCUUCCCUCCUCCCCCUUUCUUUGAACCUUUUGGCUAAUUUUCAUAAUUAUCCAAAAAAUCAGAAGUUGCUUUAUGCAUGCAUAGUUCGCACCCAGAGCUGUGCUUGUCCCUGUGUGAACUGACCUUUGAGUGCGAGAUGAAUACUUGUGCUGUGUGCUCGAGCCCAGAGAAGCGGCGAACACCUUGGAGCAGGAAGCAGGCAUAGCCCAAUGUUUACACUUGCACCAUGCCAGAAUACAAGACAGUCUAUGUAAUGUUUGGCAGCCUCGAUAUUUGCUACAAUCAGGUGAUGUCUUACCCAGGGAAAAUUUUACACAGCUCUUUGGGUAGUGCCUACAAACUUCUGUAAGGUUUCGGAUGUUUGAUGCAUUGUUUGUCUUGGAAGGGAGCUUUCUUUUGCCACAUCCAAAACUCAUGUCCCUUGGCUAUGAAUAUGCUAUGAAAACCCUUCCAAAGUACUUGAUUUUUGUAGUGCUCCUUUUAAAAAUCUGCCAAUCAACAUGGCAUUGAUAGGAAUAGCUACUGUGUGAAGUGAAUAAUUUUUGCUUUUUUUAGUUUAGAAAUGAAUAAGGGCUAAACUUUUUCUUGAAGCUAGGCAAUAAAGUUAUUCAGAUACUCA
RNA transcript from Dromaius novaehollandiae (emu), 5682 nucleotides. It is a transcript of the gene named ess-2 splicing factor homolog, with no coding region annotated. The transcript has 11 exons. The record is from RefSeq and is a predicted model, not a curated record. NCBI's taxonomy places the organism in Eukaryota, Metazoa, Chordata, Aves, Casuariiformes, Dromaiidae.